CGGACGGGUGGGUAACGCGUGGGUAACCUGCCUCACACAGGGGGAUAGCAGUUGGAAACGGCUGAUAAUACCGCAUAAGCGCACAGUACCGCAUGGUACAGUGUGAAAAACUCCGGUGGUGUGAGAUGGACCCGCGUCUGAUUAGCUAGUUGGCGGGGUAACGGCCCACCAAGGCAACGAUCAGUAGCCGACCUGAGAGGGUGACCGGCCACAUUGGGACUGAGACACGGCCCAG
Molecule: ribosomal RNA, 235 nt
Filed under: uncultured bacterium
Lineage: Bacteria
Description: partial 16S ribosomal RNA
Rfam family: Bacterial small subunit ribosomal RNA
Source: RNAcentral